RNAcentral lists this ribosomal RNA (335 nucleotides) under Clostridioides difficile. Its description in RNAcentral is "bacterial SSU rRNA". It matches the Rfam family "Bacterial small subunit ribosomal RNA", at positions 361 to 714 of the family's 1533-position model. Lineage: Bacteria; Bacillati; Bacillota; Clostridia; Peptostreptococcales; Peptostreptococcaceae. The record is from RNAcentral.
AUAUUGCACAAUGGGCGAAAGCCUGAUGCAGCACCGCCGCGUGAGAGAUGCAGGCCUUCGGGUCGGAAAACUCUGUCCUCAAGGAAGAUAAUGACGGUACUUGAGGAGGAAGCCCCGGCUAACUACGGGCCAGCAGCCGCGGUAAUACGUAGGGGGCUAGCGUUAUCCGGAUUUACUGGGCGUAAAGGGUGCGUAGGCGGUCUUUCAAGUCAGGAGUGAAAGGCUACGGCUCAACCGUAGUAAGCUCUUGAAACUGGGAGACUUGAGUGCAGGAGAGGAGAGUGGAAUUCCUAGUGUAGCGGUGAAAUGCGUAGAUAUUAGGAGGAACACCAGUU